This 1173-nucleotide ribosomal RNA is filed under the name Triticum aestivum (bread wheat). Its description in RNAcentral is "partial small subunit ribosomal RNA". Lineage: Eukaryota; Viridiplantae; Streptophyta; Magnoliopsida; Poales; Poaceae. The record is from RNAcentral.
AUGGGGUUCUCUUCUUCCUCUCGGCGCUCACACAUAGCUUCGAUGCUACAACUUUGCGUUUGCAUGCUGUUAUGCAGAGUAGAGGGAGGAUCCUCUGACGAGCAACACUUUGAAGAAGGGAUAAACACCCCCGUGACAUCACCAUCAUGUUCGGCCCGAGAUAGCCUAGACAAGGAUUUUCAUCCAAAUUGCUGGGACCAACCAAUGAAGACCAGCACGGCAAAGAGAGAAUUAUCCUCAUAUGAGCUCUACAUAGUUUACCUGGGCGAAGUGAAGCAUGACCACCCCGACCACGUGGUCGCUUCACACCAUGACAUGCUCACCACUCUUCUUGGAAGCAAGGAAGAAUCUAUAGCCUCGGUGGUAUACAACUACAAGCACGGCUUCUCAGGCUUCGCCGCCAUGCUCACACCAGAGCAAGCAAAACAACUUGCAGAAUCUCCGGAGGUCAUCAACGUCCAAAAGAACAAAAUCCACACGACAACCACCACACGAAGCUGGGACUUUCUUGGCCUCAACUACCAGAUGCCUGGUCCUGGCAGUGGGCUACUCAAGGGAAGCAACUAUGGAGAGGAUGUGAUCAUCGGGGUGGUUGACACCGGGAUAUGGCCGGAGUCGAGGAGCUUCAGUGAUGAAGGGUACGGGCCGAUACCGUCAAGGUGGAAAGGAAAGUGCCAACUCGGGCCAGACUGGGGCAGCAACAACUGCAGCCGCAAGAUCAUCGGCGCUCGGUUCUACACCGCAGGAGUGGACGAGGAGCAUCUUAAGACCGACACACUCUCACCUCGCGAUCACAAUGGCCAUGGCACACACUGUGCGUCCACCGCAGCAGGCUCGGCCGUGGAUGCGGCUAGCUUCUAUGGCCUUGCCAAGGGGGUUGCAAGAGGAGGUGCGCCACGUGCUCGCAUUGCAGUGUACAAGUCAGCCUGGGGCGCUCGCGGAGUUGUUGGUACGGCGGCUUUGCUAGCCGCCAUCGACGAUGCAAUCCAUGACGGAGUGGAUGUGCUGUCGCUGUCCCUCACCAGUGAAGAGAACUCAUUCGGCGCUCUACACGCGGUUCAGAAGGGUAUCACCGUGGUGUAUGCGGGCGGUAAUGAUGGGCCUAGACCACAGACCAUCAGGAACACUUCACCGUUGCGGCGAGCAAGGUUGAUCGAUCGUUCCCCACGGUGA